RNAcentral lists this ribosomal RNA (596 nucleotides) under Globigerinoides ruber albus. RNAcentral describes it as "partial small subunit ribosomal RNA". The stretch from base 1 to 536 matches the Rfam family "Eukaryotic small subunit ribosomal RNA", at positions 1296 to 1605 of the family's 1831-position model. Lineage: Eukaryota; Foraminifera; Rotaliida; Globigerinidae. The record is from RNAcentral.
AGUUCGUGGAGUGAUCUGUCUGCUUAAUUGCGUUUCAAAAUUUAACUUGAGGACCGGGUUUUGGUUUGGCUAGUGGUUCUACGAUGACUGUGAACUGUCAUGUCUUCGGAUGUGCGACUAUUGGUCUAGGAUCACAUGACUUGCCCCUGGGACUCUUUUGAACGCAACGGACGUGAUUGCAACCCCUUGUUGAGAUUAGAGAUAGUCUCGAUAUUCACUGGACAAACUGGCUGCUUUAUGCAGUCUUGUUGAAUGGUGGAUAAACUCGGGGGACUGCUGACUAUAACCAUUUCUCAAAACAGAGGAAGGUUGCGGCAAUAACAGGUCUGUGAUGCCCUCAGAUGUCCCGGGCUGCACACGUGCUACAAUGAGUGGCGCAAUGUGCUAAUGUUUAAGGGAUAAGAGUGUGGUCAGUAGAACGUCGGGAUUUCCCCUGACGUCUCCCCCGCACGAUUAUCAGCCUUCCCUUAACAGGGCGGGCAACCUUUUCAAAAUACUGGUUUGAUGUUAAAGUAUUGAGUCGUUUUUUUUGGAUGGUGGUUUGUUAACCAAUACCAUCCGGCAACUGCUCGCGAGUUUGUGGUUCUGGCGACUCA